ACCUGAAACCGUGUACGUACAAGCAUUGGGAGCACCUUCGGGUGUGACUGCGUACCUUUUGUAUAAUUGGUCAGCGACUUAUAUUCUGUAGCAAGGUUAACCGUAUAGGGGAGCCGCAGGGAAACCGAGUCUUAACUGGGCGUUAAGUUGCAGGGUAUAGACCCGAAACCCGGUGAUCUAGCCAUGGGCAGGUUGAAGGUUGGGUAACACUAACUGGAGGACCGAACCGACUAAUGUUGAAAAAUUAGCGGAUGACUUGUGGCUGGGGGUUAAAGGCCAAUCAAACCGGGAGAUAGCUGGUUCUCCCCGAAAGCUAUUUAGGUAGCGCCUCGUGAACUCAUCUUCGGGGGUAGAGCACUGUUUCGGCUAGGGG
RNAcentral lists this ribosomal RNA (373 nucleotides) under Pseudomonas aeruginosa. RNAcentral's name for it is "partial 23S ribosomal RNA". It matches the Rfam family "Bacterial large subunit ribosomal RNA", at positions 548 to 925 of the family's 2925-position model. Lineage: Bacteria; Pseudomonadati; Pseudomonadota; Gammaproteobacteria; Pseudomonadales; Pseudomonadaceae. The record is from RNAcentral.